GUGCAAAUUUGGAGACGCACCCCAAAAGGUGCCGGGGCUUCUCCCGUUUUAAGAGAGACGGGAGAAGG
Molecule: transfer RNA, 68 nt
Filed under: Cyrtodactylus intermedius
Lineage: Eukaryota; Metazoa; Chordata; Lepidosauria; Squamata; Gekkonidae
Description: tRNA-Cys
Source: RNAcentral